UGGGGAAUAUUGCACAAUGGGCGCAAGCCUGAUGCAGCCAUGCCGCGUGUAUGAAGAAGGCCUUCGGGUUGUAGUACUUUCAGCGGGGAGGAAGGCGAUAAGGUUAAUAACCUUGUCGAUUGACGUUACCCGCAGAAGAAGCACCGGCUAACUCCGUGCCAGCAGCCGCGGUAAUACGGAGGGUGCAAGCGUUAAUCGGAAUUACUGGGCGUAAAGCGCACGCAGGCGGUCUGUCAAGUCGGAUGUGAAAUCCCCGGGCUCAACCUGGGAACUGCAUUCGAAACUGGCAGGCUAGAGUCUUGUAGAGGGGGGUAGAAUUCCAGGUGUAGCGGUGAAAUGCGUAGAGAUCUGGAGGAAUACCGGUGGCGAAGGCGGCCCCCUGGACAAAGACUGACGCUCAGGUGCGAAAGCGUGGGGAGCAAACA
Molecule: ribosomal RNA, 425 nt
Filed under: uncultured bacterium
Lineage: Bacteria
Description: partial 16S ribosomal RNA
Rfam family: Bacterial small subunit ribosomal RNA
Source: RNAcentral